Molecule: ribosomal RNA, 274 nt
Filed under: uncultured bacterium
Lineage: Bacteria
Description: partial 16S ribosomal RNA
Rfam family: Bacterial small subunit ribosomal RNA
Source: RNAcentral
UCGAACGCGAAAGCGGAGCAAUCCGCAAGUAGAGUGGCGAACGGGUGAGUAAUACAUCGGAACAUUUCCAGUAGCGGGGGAUAACCUGUCGAAAGAUAGGCUAAUACCGCAUACGACCUACGGGUGAAAGCGGAGGACCGCAAGGCUUCGCACUAUUGGAGUGGCCGAUGUCGGAUUAGCUAGUUGGCGGGGUAAAAGCCCACCAAGGCUACGAUCCGUAGCUGGUCUGAGAGGACGAUCAGCCACACUGGAACUGAGACACGGUCCAGACUCC